Molecule: ribosomal RNA, 450 nt
Filed under: Leptotrichia sp. oral taxon 463
Lineage: Bacteria; Fusobacteriati; Fusobacteriota; Fusobacteriia; Fusobacteriales; Leptotrichiaceae
Description: bacterial SSU rRNA
Rfam family: Bacterial small subunit ribosomal RNA
Source: RNAcentral
GAUGAACGCUGACAGAAUGCUUAACACAUGCAAGUCUUUGGCAAAUCUGUGCUUGCACAGCAUAGCCAAGGCGGACGGGUGAGUAACGCGUAAAGAACUUGCCCUGCAGUCUGGGAUAACAGACGGAAACGACUGAUAAAACCUGAUAUAAUCAAGCCCACGCAUGUGGUGCUUGAUGAAAAGAAAUGCUGCAGGAGAGCUUUGCGUCCUAUUAGCUUGUUGGUGGGGUAAUGGCCCACCAAGGCAAUGAUAGGUAGCCGGCCUGAGAGGGUGACCGGCCACAAGGGGACUGAGAUACGGCCCUUACUCCUACGGGAGGCAGCAGUGGGGAAUAUUGGACAAUGGGGGCAACCCUGAUCCAGCAAUUCUGUGUGCACGAAGAAGGUUUUCGGAUUGUAAAGUGCUUUCAGCAGGGAAGAAGAAAAUGACUGACCUGCAGAGGAGCGCGCA